GCAUUGCUGAAGAAUCCCAGAAUAGAACGAAACAGCCGUCCAAUGC
Molecule: non-coding RNA, 46 nt
Filed under: Schistosoma mattheei
Lineage: Eukaryota; Metazoa; Platyhelminthes; Trematoda; Strigeidida; Schistosomatidae
Source: RNAcentral